RNAcentral lists this long non-coding RNA (2586 nucleotides) under Malus domestica (apple). RNAcentral describes it as "long non-coding RNA (MDOM_LNC006342)". Lineage: Eukaryota; Viridiplantae; Streptophyta; Magnoliopsida; Rosales; Rosaceae. The record is from RNAcentral.
GCGUGGCUAACUGCUACUCACUUUGGUUGCUGCAAGAAGUUUUCUAGAUGGAUAUGAAUUACACAACUUAAUAUUUACUCAUCUUUAAUAAUUUUUUUGGUCUAUUUCUAAUCCAAUCACACCUACUUUUUUAGUUAUAACUUACACGAGUCAUUCAACUCCAUUUGUGACUUGUUUUACAGAUCUAUCUUUGCCUUGAAUUAUAUCCCUCUCCGUCUCUCACAUCCUCAUAUCAACUGCGGGGAGACGAAGUUUAGGCAAGCUAGCAUGGAGUGGUACAGCUACCAAAGGAGGAUAUCUUCGUCUAGUUCUAGAGGAUGCCCUUACCGCAGACUAGACAAUUUUGUAACAGCUUAUGACGAGGAAGAGGACAAUGAGAAGAGUGCAGUUGUGUUGAGACAAAGACAGAUCAGUGAUCUCAACUUCAAGUACACAAAGAGGAGAGGGAUAUCUAAACUGCCACAGAAGAUAAUGUCGUCCAUCGUGCUUCUGAAAAGGUGUAGAGAUGCUUAUGUGGAAGUAAUGCUUAGCUUUGCUGAACAUGUUGUGCAGUUGAACGGUGGAAAUUCCUACUUAUAAAUGCUCCAUAGUCCUCACUUCUCAGCUCCGAAGUCGUUAAAAGUUCUACUUAAUCAAAUUAAGGACAAGUUUUAGUUUGUGGGUAUGUUGAUUUGGAUUAGGGCUCUUGUAUUAGAUUAGUGAUAUUUUACUUGAUUAUGUAUUAUGCAUAUAUUUAUGUUCCUGAAAUUCUAAUUAGCACUCCAAUAAAUCCAAUAUCAUGUUGAUUCUUUUUGAUAAACUUUCUGAAAAUCAGCGACUAAUUACAAUUACAUUACAUGUACACUUGGCCUGAUGAUUUUCAAAGAAACAUUUUCUCUAAAGUUUUGUGCUUGUGUAUAGGUAAAUAUAUAAUUUACCUUUUGUAUGUAAUAUACCUUGUGAGCAGAAAUGCAGGACCAAAUUCUGAGAUUCAUCAAGACUCUUGUCAACGUUUUGCUUUCCAAAAAAUAUCUUACAUCUUCUAGUUGCAGCUGCCAUGUUCACUCUGCAGCUAGGUUUGGUCACAGCAGCAGGUAUACAUGAUAAGGGUCGUAAUUUUCACACUCCAUUUCUUUCUCUUUUUUCGGUGUAGUAGAAAAAAUGAGAGUGCAAAAAAUUGUUUUCAGGUAAAAUAUAUGAUCGACUCUAUCCAUUAUUAUUCAACUUCCUUACAAGUUUUAUUUAUUUUUUACAUUGAAGUGUUGCAUGGUGAUGCAGAUCAUCACGAUAUGAAUAUAAUUAGGGAACUGAGAGAACGGCGGUCACCAACUCCUUUGAGUCCAAAAUCACCACUUGCAAACCAACAGCCGGGCAUGAGAGUACCUGCUCCUUAUCCUCCUGUUGAACAACCGCCUCCGGCUGACCCUCCUCCUCCUCCUCCUCCUCCUCCACAGCUUCCAAUCCCAAACAACAACAAUUUUGCCUGAAUUUCUUCACAACAUUAAUUAAUUUUCUAACUGCUAUGCUUUAAGCGCCAAAUGCAACUAAUAUGUAGUGAUUAAGCUUAGUUGCUUAGUUCAUUAAAGAUUAAUAAGUUGGAAUAAGGGGAUAAGAUUGCCAUGCAUGUAUUGUAGGUUUUCCGUUAUUUGCUUUUAUUAGAAAACGCAGUUUCCUUGCUGAUUUUCUUGUCACGGAUCGGCUAACCAAGUGCCGUCUUCUUCUGCUUCAGAUUUCUUUUUUCUUUUACUUAUCAGUAUUUUUAAAAAUUGCUUUUAUACGUAACGUACGUAUAUAUACAUAUACAUAUAUAUCCAGCAAGUAUGAUGAACACACGCGGUGAAAGGGACGGGAUCAUACCAUAUUGCUUAUAUGUAUAAUUGUAAGGAAGAAUAUUCAAAACAUAGUCGCCCCUGAGAUCUCAGAGGCCUUUGAGUUCUUCGAGCAUUGAUGCAUUCCACAAUCAUAUAUUUUAAUCGAAUCAGACUAUAAAGUUCGCAACAAAAACAUGCUAGAUAAAAUGUGAUCCAAAAGAAACAUAUUAGAGAUUGAUCCGUAGGGCUGGUUUGGGAUACUAACAUAGAAAGUACUUCUGCUUACAUGCGUUUUUACUUGAACUGGUUUUAUAGACAAACUUUUUCAUUAAAAGUUCAAGUGUUAUAUAAAAACACUUAAAAGUCGUUUGGAAGUGAUUUUAAAAUAGUUGCACACUCUUUUGGUGAAAAUGUUUUUGGGAUCAGUUCUUAGAAAAAAUGUAAAUGUAAGUGAAACCUGUAAAAGCACUUGAAGUGCUUCAUACUAGAAGCACAUAACCGGUGCUUCUUGCAAGAAGCAAUUCAUUUGCUUUUGGAACUUAAAAAUAUUUUUCCCAAAAACACUUUCAACCAUUAAAAUGUAUUUCCAAACGAGUCUUAUAUCUCUAGAAAACGCUUCUAUUACUAGAAUCGCUUCUAUAUUAAUCUAUCAACGUAUUCAAACCUCAAAAGUGCUCAAGUUUGUCAAAGUGCAUUUGUAACCAUGUUUUGAAGCCGUCUCAAACAGGCAGUAUAUGCUGCACACUAUUACUCAGCCCACAAAAACACAAAUUCGUACUAGUCCCUCUUUAAGUCC